This 66-nucleotide transfer RNA is filed under the name Camelus bactrianus (Bactrian camel). It matches the Rfam family "tRNA". From Rfam's summary of the family: Transfer RNA (tRNA) molecules are approximately 80 nucleotides in length. Their secondary structure includes four short double-helical elements and three loops (D, anti-codon, and T loops). Further hydrogen bonds mediate the characteristic L-shaped molecular structure. tRNAs have two regions of fundamental functional importance: the anti-codon, which is responsible for specific mRNA codon recognition, and the 3' end, to which the tRNAs corresponding amino acid is attached (by aminoacyl-tRNA synthetases). tRNAs cope with the degeneracy of the genetic code in two manners: having more than one tRNA (with a specific anti-codon) for a particular amino acid; and 'wobble' base-pairing, i.e. permitting non-standard base-pairing at the 3rd anti-codon position. The record is from Rfam by way of RNAcentral. RNAcentral also lists the same sequence under 2 other names. Lineage: Eukaryota; Metazoa; Chordata; Mammalia; Artiodactyla; Camelidae.
GGUAUAGCUCAGUGGUAAAGUGCAUGCUUAGCAAGCUACGAGGUCCUGGGUUCAAUCCCCAGUACC